GACGAACGCUGGCGGCGUGCCUAAUACAUGCAAGUCGAGCGAAUCUCGAGGAGCUUGCUCCUUGAGGUUAGCGGCGGACGGGUGAGUAACACGUGGGCAACCUGCCUGUAAGACUGGGAUAACACCGGGAAACCGGUGCUAAUACCGGAUAAUUCUUUCCCUCACAUGAGGGAAAGCUGAAAGUUGGUUUCGGCUGACACUUACAGAUGGGCCCGCGGCGCAUUACCUAGUUGGUGAGGUAACGGCUGACCAAGGCGACGAUGCGUAGCCGACGUGCGAGGGUUAUCAGCCCCACGGGAAGAGAGACACGGCCCAGGCUUCUACGGGAGGCAGCAGUAGGGAAUCUUCCGAGAUGGACGAAAGUCUGACGGAGCAACGCCGGGUGAGUGAUGAAGGCCUUCGGGUCGUAAAACUCUGUUGUUAGGGAAGAACAAGUACCGGAGUAACUGCCGGUACCUUGACGGUACCUAACCAGAAAGCCACGGCUAACUACGUGCCAGCCGCCGCGGUAA
Molecule: ribosomal RNA, 512 nt
Filed under: uncultured bacterium
Lineage: Bacteria
Description: partial 16S ribosomal RNA
Rfam family: Bacterial small subunit ribosomal RNA
Source: RNAcentral